CCGCGCAUGCUGCGGUCCCCUUUCUGCCGUGAUGCCGUCUCGGUCGCCGGUCGCCGCCGGCCGGGUGCCGGUGCGUCGCCGGGUGCGUGGUCC
Molecule: transfer RNA, 93 nt
Filed under: Streptomyces kronopolitis
Lineage: Bacteria; Bacillati; Actinomycetota; Actinomycetes; Kitasatosporales; Streptomycetaceae
Description: tRNA-Gly
Source: RNAcentral